RNAcentral lists this ribosomal RNA (1151 nucleotides) under uncultured bacterium. RNAcentral describes it as "bacterial SSU rRNA". It matches the Rfam family "Bacterial small subunit ribosomal RNA", at positions 26 to 1160 of the family's 1533-position model. The record is from RNAcentral.
AGGAUGAACGCUGGCGGCGUGCCUAAUACAUGCAAUCGAGCGAACAGACGAGGAGCUUGCUCCUCUGACGUUAGCGGCGGACGGGUGAGUAACACGUGGAUAACCUACCUAUAAGACUGGGAUAACUUCGGGAAACCGGAGCUAAUACCGGAUAAUAUAUUGAACCGCAUGGUUCAAUAGUGAAAGACGGUUUUGCUGUCACUUAUAGAUGGAUCCGCGCCGCAUUAGCUAGUUGGUAAGGUAACGGCUUACCAAGGCAACGAUGCGUAGCCGACCUGAGAGGGUGAUCGGCCACACUGGAACUGAGACACGGUCCAGACUCCUACGGGAGGCAGCAGUAGGGAAUCUUCCGCAAUGGGCGAAAGCCUGACGGAGCACGCCGCGUGAGUGAUGAAGGUCUUCGGAUCGUAAAACUCUGUUAUUAGGGAAGAACAAAUGUGUAAGUAACUAUGCACGUCUUGACGGUACCUAAUCAGAAAGCCACGGCUAACUACGUGCCAGCAGCCGCGGUAAUACGUAGGUGGCAAGCGUUAUCCGGAAUUAUUGGGCGUAAAGCGCGCGUAGGCGGUUUUUUAAGUCUGAUGUGAAAGCCCACGGCUCAACCGUGGAGGGUCAUUGGAAACUGGAAAACUUGAGUGCAGAAGAGGAAAGUGGAAUUCCAUGUGUAGCGGUGAAAUGCGCAGAGAUAUGGAGGAACACCAGUGGCGAAGGCGACUUUCUGGUCUGUAACUGACGCUGAUGUGCGAAAGCGUGGGGAUCAAACAGGAUUAGAUACCCUGGUAGUCCACGCCGUAAACGAUGAGUGCUAAGUGUUAGGGGGUUUCCGCCCCUUAGUGCUGCAGCUAACGCAUUAAGCACUCCGCCUGGGGAGUACGACCGCAAGGUUGAAACUCAAAGGAAUUGACGGGGACCCGCACAAGCGGUGGAGCAUGUGGUUUAAUUCGAAGCAACGCGAAGAACCUUACCAAAUCUUGACAUCCUCUGACCCCUCUAGAGAUAGAGUUUUCCCCUUCGGGGGACAGAGUGACAGGUGGUGCAUGGUUGUCGUCAGCUCGUGUCGUGAGAUGUUGGGUUAAGUCCCGCAACGAGCGCAACCCUUAAGCUUAGUUGCCAUCAUUAAGUUGGGCACUCUAAGUUGACUGCCGGUGACA